This 82-nucleotide transfer RNA is filed under the name Lachnellula willkommii. It matches the Rfam family "tRNA". From Rfam's summary of the family: Transfer RNA (tRNA) molecules are approximately 80 nucleotides in length. Their secondary structure includes four short double-helical elements and three loops (D, anti-codon, and T loops). Lineage: Eukaryota; Fungi; Ascomycota; Leotiomycetes; Helotiales; Lachnaceae. RNAcentral also lists the same sequence under 1 other name. The record is from Rfam by way of RNAcentral.
GGUUAGAUGGCAGAGCGGUCUAAUGCGUGUGACUAGAAAUCACAUCUCUUCGGAGGCGCAGGUUCAAAUCCUGCUCUAAUCG